Molecule: non-coding RNA, 1364 nt
Organism: Peromyscus maniculatus bairdii (prairie deer mouse)
Lineage: Eukaryota; Metazoa; Chordata; Mammalia; Rodentia; Cricetidae
Source: RefSeq, a predicted model, not a curated record
CAGAACUGUGCAGUCUCUGGAUCUCAUCUUUUGGGUUGUGAAAUUCUGGCUGAUCUUUGAGAGGCUCUGAAACCCAGGAGGCUCCGCCCCCUCACAGGUGGGCGGGGUCUGUGCCACCUCCAACUGUGCUCAGGGUUCAGGAGCCCACAGCAGGCCCAGGGGGAAGCAUUUCCCAGUGCCCAGGCGCUUUGCUCAUUGUCAAGCCUAGAGCUCACUGGUUGGUGAGACUAGCUGGCCACUGAGUCCCUGAGAUCUGCCCGUCUCUGCCUCCAAGCACUGUGACUACAAGCACAUGCUUCCAUACCCAGCUUUUUAUGUGGGUGCCAGGGACCCAAACUCAGCUUCUCCACCCAGCCCCCACCCUUCUGCAGAACUCAGUGUCCAGCCAUUCCGAGAAGGAUCCUGGGGUCUCUGGUUCCUGGGCUCCAUGAGCUCUCUGGGCAUCCUCUCCCAGAACCCUCCCUCUGAAGACACCUGACUCACCUGUGCUCAGAGCCAUUGAUGAAAAAGCCGGUGGUUUCCUCUGGAGAAGUGGUCAGAACUAAGAAGGAUGCAAAGAUGGCGGUCACUCAGGUGACCAGGACGGAGACCAAGACUGGGUCCCAAGAACCAUGAGAGGAGGUGGGGAAGGGUUUUAGAUGAAACCACACCUCACAGCCCCUCAGGCCAGGGCUACAAUUUUUAGCUUAUACUUAUUUUUUGUUUACAGAUAUAAGGGCAUCAACCCUAAAGGCUGGCCUCCCCUAACCCCAGACCCCCCCCAUCACCUGGGUACCCCCCUUCCCCCGGCACACCCACCUGUGCUUGUUGGGAGCCAGGUGGUCGUCUCUAGAGUAAGAGGGGAAAAGAGAAGAUAACCAUGCAUGAAAGGGAGAAUGGGGUCUGGGCCGAAACUGUGAAAGAUGCAGGAGGCUCAGAGGUAGCUGGGCCUAAAUUCUUUAACUUACAACGUUUACAUAUUUAUGGGCUGUUGAGACUGCCUGAAGACCUGAGUUCAAAUCCUAGAACCCACAGUGGAAGGAGAGAGUCAACAUAAAAGUUGUCCCCCAGCCUCCACGUGUGCACCAUGGCCCAUGCAUUCAUACAACAACAACAAUAAUAAUACAAUAACUUAUAAAGAGGUUUUUACACAUUAUCCUAUGCCAUUUGCUGUUUCAGUACUUGUAUAUAUUAUGUGACAUUCAAACCAAAGUCAACCUGUGUACUCAACAUUUAACAUUUAUCCAUGGUAAAACAUUAAAAAAUCCUUUUUAUAGCCUUUUAAAAGUGAUUAGGGGCCAGAGAGAUGGCUCAUAGGUUAAGAGCACUGGCUAUUCUUGCAGAGGACCCAGGUUUGAUUCCCAGCACUCACAUGGUAGCUCACA